CUUUGUGUCUCUCAGAACCAUCAUGGCCUCUCCAUGUAUCUUUACAGUAUACCCUCUGAGACCUGCUGAGUAUAUGACUCAGCAAAUCACCAUGGUGAUGGGAGAAAGCCAGGCUGUGGGGGCACCAGCUAUAACGGGGUAAUACUUGGAAGGCAAUUUCUUUCUGAGAACUUGCUGCAGCCUAGCUUGGAGUCCUGGCCUGGAAAGCUUGAAUAUGAAAAGUCAGGUGGGCCAUAAAACAUGAAGGAACCAGUAAGCCAGGCCAGUGGAAACAUUCUAGAGUUGAAAAUCCUCUAUGGAACAAGCUUACCUACAUGUGGCCUGUCCUUCCCAGCGGCCAACUUAAUGAGGAGUUUGAUUGGCCAAUACAAGGACUGCUUGUUCCAAGCAGUCCUCCCAUGAAGAAACCCAUCUGUAAGACAACAGAGCCAUAUGCCCCUGUGCGACUCAGAGUUUUGCGGAAUGGAGACAAUAAUAAAAACAGAUCCGUUACUAUCCUUGGUCCAGAUAUCUCACCUGGACGGAAAACGCAGUGCACUGAGAUUUUAAAUUUACCUUCUGCAGCUCGGAGAUUGUACAGUGAAAAGGGGAAGGAAAUAUUUGCCUUAAAAGACCUGCAAAGAGAUGAACUGGUGUAUGUUUCAUGUGGAGAACACUGGAUCAAUCCUGACCUGUCCGUUGCUCAGCAAAAGAAACAAAUAUUCCUGAGGAACCUAGAAUCAGACAUUGCCAAAAUUCAAAUCUUCUGCUGCACACAUAAAAUAGAAGCUCUUGUUUUAGAAGUCCAAAGUGACAUUGUAUCUGGAAGCAAGCUUGCUGUGCAUAAACCUGUAGCAAUUUUUGGAGAAGAGAAGCAAGUUACAGAGCCAGAAGAAAAGCAAAUGCAAGAAGAUGCUCUAACAAUGGAAAAUGCUUCCGGUGAAAUUCUAGAUUCACACGCAAGAGCUCAUCUUCGAAUGAAGGCUUGUCACACACUUCUCAGGUAUGCCUGGCAGGAAACUUCACAUGACUUUGAUGAGGAUGACAGUCUUCCAAAGAAAAUGGAAAAAGGGCUCUUUGAAAACGUGGAACCACAGAAGAAACACAGCUGUUCACCAAAGCAUAGUAAAUUGCACAAGCAUUACCAUCAGCAGUUCGAAUACAGAGAUGGGCAGAUUAUAAGCCAUGCUGCUCCUCAGCUAGUCUUGGGGGUUCAAGGUCCCAAUCUCCGGUCAGGCAUGGAGGUGGUUUUGGUGGAGAAGAAAUCUGAUGGUAGUCAUCAGCGCUGGAUAUACCAGGAAGAGAGCAGGACCUUUCACCUGGUGAGUAACCCUGACCUUGUGCUGGCAGUGUCUAUGACCAAGACUAGAAAUGAAGUUUGUGGCUAUCCAGUUAUUGUUCAGAAAUAUAAGCCAUACAACAAUGGAGCUGCCAAUCAAAAGUGGCAUUACAUGAAAAAUAUAAAAGCACUUGUGGCCUUUCAUAGCACUGCCUUGGAUAAGGAAAUUACAUCAGCAAAUUACGCUGGUGUCUGUACAUCAUCUGUGAUUAAAGAAGAAAACAUUGAUCAACCAGGAUACUGUUAUCUCUCACCUGAUGGAAAGAGAAAAACUAUGCUCUGCUUGGCUUGUGGACAAUCCAUGAGAACAGAGAAAGGACUGAAACAAUUGCUUCCAGGGGUUCCAUUCCUCUGUAUUUCAGGCACCAAGACCCAAAAGCCCUUCUUACGAGGGCCCUUCAAGGUCAUCAGUGUGGCUGAGGUUGAUUUGUCAUGUGACAAGGCUGAAAAAACUCUAAGUUAUUACCAAGCACAUCUAUUGUCUUUACGGAUGAAGACCUGCACGCGAGCUGCAUCUCACAGUGGCAUGGCAGCCACACACCAGAAGGCAGUGAAAAUAAUUGCAUACAAAAAUGGGGAUGGAUAUCGUAAUGGGAAGUUAAUUGUGGCUGGAACAUUCCCCAUGGUAAGUGACUAUCACUUAAAUGCUGCUUGCAUCUUCAGAGGUAAUGAUAAUGGCAAUUCUUAAAGAAAAAGCAGUGGGAUUGAGUGAUAAAUGUCCUUGGCCAGAUUCACCAGUUAAAGCUGAUGAGAUCAAGAUCUCUGUUUACUUAAAGACAUUUUAUUUGAUUGUAUGUCAGUGGAUACAGACUUAGAAAAACUAGAAACCAGAAUUCAGUUUUUAGAUUGGCUCUAGAGCAGAGAUCUAUAAGAAAGAGGAAAACAAAGCCACUGGAUUUUCUUCCUUCUUGUGAUGGACGGAAUGCCUUUUUCUGCCUUGUUUCUCAUGCCAGCUUCAAGUUGUGUGUCAUCUGAAUCAUCCAAGAGAUGCCACCUCAUUCACCAUCUGGAGUAUCUGGGCAUUUAUUUGUUGAUAGGUUGUUUUAUUUUAUUUUCAAAUUGGAGAAGCACGGGCUGUGUUAGGAGGAACUACGUGGUCUGCCUUGGGGGCUGCUCCUCACAGUCAUAGGAAGAGAGAAGAACCUAGAAGGCCCAAACCCAGCUUUGUCCUUGCACUGCUUGGUGAUUAUCUUGACUAUUCACUCUGGCCAAUGUCUUUAGCAAUGUAUUUUACAAGUGAUGUUUGAUAUGAUAUGGAGUUACCCUGCAGACUUCCUUGCAAGCACACGUAUCUAUUCCCUCACCUCUUUGGCUGAAAAUUUUUUUUUUUAAUUAAGGUAUUGUUAUUCAAUAGACUAAGCAAAAUACGGAAGUUAGCAACUCCAAGAUUCACCCAGGGAUCCACAGCUGGCUUUUAUGGCCUUGGGCAAAAAUUUUAAUCUUUCAUCCUGUUUUUCCAUCUGCAAAAUGGAGGUAAUAAUACCUGUCAGUUCUUGGUUUGAAGGUUAACUACUUACUUAUUUUAAAACAGUUUAUCAGUAUGAAGUAUUACAACAGUUGUAUAACAUAAAGCAACAAAUUUGAAAGUGGAUUUUUAAGUUGAACAAUUUUUAGAAGAUACUCUGAUGCUAAAAUAUAUUAAUAUAUGUCAGCUGCCAUGUUAAAUUUGUGGAGCUAGGAAAUUUACAGCUGGAUUGGACUACUGUUGUGAAAUUAGGUAGGACAAUCUAAUAUCGAAAAUAGUCUCUAAUCAAAGAUCAACUUCAGUAGUAAUUCAGCUUUCUAUUUUCUCAAAUUCAAUUAUUUUUUUUCAGAUUUUUAGAAUGACAAGCUCUUAAUGAUUAUUCCCAAUCCUAUCACCUUUGCCUGUCAGAUCCUUACUGCCUGUGUUAUCUAGCUUCUUACAGAAUGCACGGAACAACUUGGGCUUGCCAGAGCAGCCUCCAAAGUAUAUACCAAAGAUGGAACCCCAAUCUUUACCUUGCGUGAUUUGGUUUUAUGGGCUCUAGAUGAAUCCUUUCUCCAGAGAGACUCUGAGAAACAAAAGCAAGAUGCAGCUCCUGUUGGAAAAGAACAGAUAAUUGUUGAAAAAAAUCCAAGAAUGAAAGUGAAAAACAGAUUAUUUGCAAAAUCUGUGACAUCUGAUAGUUUGGAUGGUAUAGACAAGUCUUUGCUUACCGUCAUCCUCAGAAAUCCUAUUGCCAUCUGGGUAUCUUGUGGUGAACCAUUUCUACCUCCAAAUGCUUUGCAGAAAGCAGAAAAAUUAGAGAAACAGAACUGGCUAAAAAAGGACAGAAUUUUGGCUGAUCUAGAUACCAUGAGACACAAAAUGAGACAGUUAAAAGGGCGGCGAGUAGCGGCAUGUCAGCCAGCCACCAUGGUUCCUACCAAGAGCCCUGUGCAGCCCGUGGUGGUGGAAGGAGGCUGGACCCAACAGACUCAAGAGGAAAUUAAACUCAUGGAGUUUAUAAGACAUACAGAGGCACACCUUUCUGAAAUCCAAGAAAUGGAAUCCAAAAUAAAUUUUCCAAUUGCAACCAAACAUAUAGCAGUCAAGCCAAGCAACCUGUAUACGCAGCCCAACACAAAACGAGUGUGGAUUUAUCUAAAUGGAGGCAGACCUGAAGAUGGCACUUACGCCUGGGGCAAAACUAUUUCAGAGCUGCUGCAAGACUGCUCCUCUCGUCUCAAAAUGACCCACCCAGCUAGAGCACUGUACACUCCCAAUGGAGAGCCAAUUCAGUCCUGGGACGACAUAGAGCGAGAUAUGGUCAUCUGUGUGUCUAUGGGACAUGGUUUCAAAACCCCAAAAGAGUUAAAACAACUGAUGGAGAUCAGAGCAAAUUAUUCCAGAAUCCGAAGGCAGCAGGGCCCUCAAGCCACAGACAUUGUGGUGUCACCAUCCACAAAGCUGCUGUCUCUGGCACAUCUCCACAAUUAACUCCUAUCAGAGCCAUCGGAUUUUCUGCUGUAUUUUGCUGGAAAGAAAACUUUCUUUACCCACUUAUAAACAGAAGACUGUGACAAGAAGGCCAAUUAUUUCCAUCGCUGAAGACUCUAAAUUUGGCAAAUCUUCUAAAUAACAAUCCUGCCUAGUUUAUUAAAAAAAAAUUCGUCGCAAAAUUUAUCCUUCAAAAAUCUGCAUUUUAAAUAAACCCUGACAGUGAUUUCUCAAGACUGUAAAGAUAUUAGUCUGAGAAUGCCCCUCUAACAGACUGCUCUGGGCAUCUUUUCUCUUUGCCUUGGCCAGGCCUCUCAGAAUUGAGUUAGCGUGUGACUCCAUUUGCACAGCGGGACAGACGAGUACAGCUGAAAUAAAAAGUGGAGGCCUCUGCAAAAAAAAAAAAAUUUAUCCUUCAAAA
RNAcentral lists this small RNA (4680 nucleotides) under Pongo abelii (Sumatran orangutan). RNAcentral's name for it is "retained intron". Lineage: Eukaryota; Metazoa; Chordata; Mammalia; Primates; Hominidae. The record is from RNAcentral.